Molecule: ribosomal RNA, 497 nt
Filed under: uncultured bacterium
Lineage: Bacteria
Description: partial 16S ribosomal RNA
Rfam family: Bacterial small subunit ribosomal RNA
Source: RNAcentral
GAUGAACGCUGGCGGCGUGCCUAAUACAUGCAAGUCGAGCGAACAGACGAGGAGCUUGCUCCUCUGACGUUAGCGGCGGACGGGUGAGUAACACGUGGAUAACCUACCUAUAAGACUGGGAUAACUUCGGGAAACCGGAGCUAAUACCGGAUAAUAUAUUGAACCGGAUGGUUCAAUAGUGAAAGACGGUUUUGCUGUCACUUAUAGAUGGAUCCGCGCCGCAUUAGCUAGUUGGUAAGGUAACGGCUUACCAAGGCAACGAUGCGUAGCCGACGUGAGAGGGUGAUCGGCCACACUGGAACUGAGACACCGUCCAGACUCCUACGGGAGGCAGCAGUAGGGAAUCUUCCGCAAUGGGCGAAAGCCUGACGGAGCAACGCCGCGUGAGUGAUGAAGGUCUUCGGAUCGUAAAACUCUGUUAUUAGGGAAGAACAAAUGUGUAAGUAACUAUGCACGGCUUGACGGUACCUAAUCAGAAAGCCACGGCUAACUACGUG